This 647-nucleotide ribosomal RNA is filed under the name uncultured bacterium. RNAcentral describes it as "bacterial SSU rRNA". It matches the Rfam family "Bacterial small subunit ribosomal RNA", at positions 8 to 646 of the family's 1533-position model. The record is from RNAcentral.
AGAGUUUGAUCCUGGCUCAGAUUGAACGCUGGCGGCAGGCUUAACACAUGCAAGUCGAGCGGAAACGAAGGUAGCUUGCUACCAGACGUCGAGCGGCGGACGGGUGAGUAAUGCUUAGGAAUCUACCGAGUAGUGGGGGAUAGCCAUUGGAAACGAUGAUUAAUACCGCAUAUAUCCUACGGGGGAAAGCAGGGGACCUUCGGGCCUUGCGCUAUUCGAUGAGCUUGAGUGAGAUUAGCUAGUUGGUGGGGUAAAGGCCUACCAAGGCGACGAUCUUUAGCUGGUCUGAGAGGAUGAUCAGCCACACUGGGACUGAGACACGGCCCAGACUCCUACGGGAGGCAGCAGUGGGGAAUAUUGCACAAUGGACGAAAGUCUGAUGCAGCCAUGCCGCGUGUGUGAAGAAGGCCUUCGGGUUGUAAAGCACUUUCAGCGAGGAGGAAAGGUCAGUAAGUAAUAUUUGCUGGCUGUGACGUUACUCGCAGAAGAAGCACCGGCUAAUUUAGUGCCAGCAGCCGCGGUAAUACUAAAGGUGCAAGCGUUAAUCGGAAUUACUGGGCGUAAAGCGCGCGUAGGUGGUUUGUUAAGUUGGAUGUGAAAGCCCAGGGCUCAACCUUGGAACUGCAUUCAAAACUGACUCACUAGAG